This 288-nucleotide long non-coding RNA is filed under the name Olea europaea (common olive). Its description in RNAcentral is "long non-coding RNA (OEUR_LNC000953)". Lineage: Eukaryota; Viridiplantae; Streptophyta; Magnoliopsida; Lamiales; Oleaceae. The record is from RNAcentral.
UUUGUGAUGACUCCUUCCCCGGUGGCAACUGUGAUGACAUAGGAUACAAUGGCAGAUUUACGCUGCCAUGAUUGGAGUCAUUUCAUUUGUAAGAGAGCGAGAAAGCACAGGGUUUAUCACCUUGAACAAGAGAAUACAAUGUUCGAUUGAAGAAUGAAUUAUAGGCUCAGAUAUACAGAUUUCAUCCAUUAGUCAAGAACUAAUUGACCUCGCUAUGGUUGCAUAUCACUGGUUGAACGAGCAAUAGAGAAGACGACUACUGUUGCCCGACCUUCCAGGUUGUCACAC